CCUAACCUGAAAGUACCCGGUCAGGAAUAGUUGGAGUCUGGCCCUUUAACACUCUGGCCGGAAGUGUAGGUGACGUCACAGAGCCCCUUCUGAGGUGGGCGGCAUUUCCAGUAGGCCGCCAUUGUCUGAGCGGGAGGAGUCAGGCCGGAGUGGAGAGGGGGUCCUGGCGAGGUCGCUCCAUAGCCGGUGGUGGUGGCCCCACGUGAGUGACCCCAGCGUGCUCCCGAGAAAUAUAAUUUCUGCUUCACCUGUCAAAUUUCAUAGCAUUCCCUCAUUUUCAAUUUCUCCAGGACCAGAGACUCCCCCUUCUGUUCUGGUGAUUCUGUGGAGCCACCUGCCGAUCCUUGGGAAUUACAGAAGCUUCAGACAAUGGUGACACACCAUCUGACACACUGUUCCCAGGUGGGAGGAGAAUGAUGUGGUGACAUGAUGCAGUGACAGGCAGGAAUUUCUGCUCUCUCACAUCAAGUUGCAAAGCCUCCGCACUUCUCAUCUCGCCCUGGUAAG
Sorex araneus (European shrew) is the source of this 507-nucleotide long non-coding RNA. RefSeq lists it as uncharacterized. NCBI's taxonomy places the organism in Eukaryota, Metazoa, Chordata, Mammalia, Eulipotyphla, Soricidae. The transcript is spliced from 4 exons. The record is from RefSeq and is a predicted model, not a curated record.